CCUACGGGAGGCAGCAGUGGGGAAUAUUGCGCAAUGGGCGAAAGCCUGACGCAGCGACGCCGCGUGAGGGAUGAAAGUCUUCGGAUCGUAAACCUCUGUCAGCAGGGAAGAACGGUCACUGUGCUAAUCAGCAGUGAAUUGACGGUACCUGCAAAGGAAGCACCGGCUAACUCCGUGCCAGCAGCCGCGGUUAUUCGGAGGGUGCGAGAGUUAAUCGGAAUUACUGGGCGUAAAGCGCUCGUAUGCGGUAUGUCAAGUCAAUGGUGAAAUCCCCGCGCUCAACGUGGGAACUGCCUUUGAAACUGGCAAACUGGAGUGUGUGAGAGGAUAGUGGAAUUCGAGGUGUAGGAGUGAAAUCCGUAGAUAUCUGGAGGAAAAUCGGUGGCGAAGGCGACUAUCUGGCACAUAACUGACGCUGAGGAGCGAAAGCGUGGGUAGCAAACAGGAGUAGAUACCCGUGUAGUC
This 465-nucleotide ribosomal RNA is filed under the name uncultured bacterium. Its description in RNAcentral is "partial 16S ribosomal RNA". It matches the Rfam family "Bacterial small subunit ribosomal RNA", at positions 338 to 795 of the family's 1533-position model. The record is from RNAcentral.